Molecule: ribosomal RNA, 869 nt
Filed under: uncultured bacterium
Lineage: Bacteria
Description: bacterial SSU rRNA
Rfam family: Bacterial small subunit ribosomal RNA
Source: RNAcentral
AGAGUUUGAUCCUGGCUCAGAAUGAACGCUGGCGGCAUGCCUAACACAUGCAAGUCGAACGAGAUUAUGACUUCGGUUGUAGUCUAGUGGCGCACGGGUGCGUAACGCGUGGGAAUCUGCCCUUGGGUUCGGAAUAACAGUGAGAAAUUACUGCUAAUACCGGAUAAUGUCGCAAGACCAAAGAUUUAUUGCCCAGGGAUGAGCCCGCGUAAGAUUAGCUAGUUGGUGGGGUAAAGGCCUACCAAGGCGACGAUCUUUAGCUGGUCUGAGAGGAUGAUCAGCCACACUGGGACUGAGACACGGCCCAGACUCCUACGGGAGGCAGCAGUGGGGAAUAUUGGACAAUGGGCGAAAGCCUGAUCCAGCAAUGCCGCGUGAGUGAUGAAGGCCUUAGGGUUGUAAAGCUCUUCUACUCGGGAAGAUAAUGACUGUACCGGGAGAAUAAGCCCCGGCUAACUCCGUGCCAGCAGCCGCGGUAAUACGGAGGGGGCUAGCGUUAUUCGGAAUUACUGGGCGUAAGGCGUACGUAGGCGGUGGUUCAAGUCAGAGGUGAAAGCCCGGAGCUCAACUCCGGAACUGCCUUUGAAACUAGAUCGCUAGAACAUCGGAGAGGUAAGUGGAAUUCCGAGUGUAGAGGUGAAAUUCGUAGAUAUUCGGAAGAACACCAGUGGCGAAAGCGGCUUACUGGACGAUUGUUGACGCUGAGGUACGAAAGCGUGGGGAGCAAACCGGAUUAGAUACCCUGGUAGUCCACGCCGUAACGAUGAUAACUAGCUGUUGGGUCCUCAUAGACGCGUCAGUGGCGCAGCUAACGCAUUAAGUUAUCCGCCUGGGGGAGUACGGUCGCAAGAUUAAAACUCCAGACGAUG